AAAGGGUCCGCAGGCGGAUUUAUAAGUCAGUGGUGAAAUCCUAUCGCUUAACGAUAGAACUGCCAUUGAUACUGUAAGUCUUGAAUUCGGUCGGAGUGGGCGGAAUGUGUAGUGUAGCGGUGAAAUGCAUAGAUAUUACACAGAACACCGAUAGCGAAGGCAGCUCACUAGGCCUGAAUUGACGCUCAGGGACGAAAGCGUGGGGAUCAAACAGGAUUAGAUACCCCUGU
RNAcentral lists this ribosomal RNA (230 nucleotides) under uncultured bacterium. RNAcentral's name for it is "partial 16S ribosomal RNA". It matches the Rfam family "Bacterial small subunit ribosomal RNA", at positions 562 to 791 of the family's 1533-position model. The record is from RNAcentral.